UACGUAGGUGGCGAGCGUUGUCCGGAUUUACCGGGCGUAAAGGGAGCGUAGGCGGACUUUUAAGUGAGAUGUGAAAUACUCGGGCUCAACUUGAGUGCUGCAUUUCAAACUGGAAGUCUAGAGUGCAGGAGAGGAGAAUGGAAUUCCUAGUGUAGCGGUGAAAUGCAUAGAUAUCACGCAGAACUCCGAUUGCGAAGGCAGCGCACCGGCGCCCUACUGACGCUCAGGCACGAAAGCGUGGGUAUCGAACAGG
This 253-nucleotide ribosomal RNA is filed under the name uncultured bacterium. RNAcentral describes it as "partial 16S ribosomal RNA". It matches the Rfam family "Bacterial small subunit ribosomal RNA", at positions 524 to 776 of the family's 1533-position model. The record is from RNAcentral.